AAGAUAUGAAAAUUCAAGAAUAAGCUUCUAACUUAAUUCUUUAGCAGUGAAACCCUGUUAAUAUCUUU
Molecule: transfer RNA, 68 nt
Filed under: Onthophagus haematopus
Lineage: Eukaryota; Metazoa; Arthropoda; Insecta; Coleoptera; Scarabaeidae
Description: tRNA-Ser
Source: RNAcentral